Molecule: ribosomal RNA, 292 nt
Filed under: uncultured bacterium
Lineage: Bacteria
Description: partial 16S ribosomal RNA
Rfam family: Archaeal small subunit ribosomal RNA
Source: RNAcentral
GUGCCAGCCGCCGCGGUAAUACCGGCAGCCCGAGUGAUGGCCGAUCUUAUUGGGCCUAAAGCGUCCGUAGCCAGCCGAACAAGUCCGUUGGGAAAUCCACCUGCUCAACAGGUGGGCGCCCGGUGGAAACUGUGCGGCUUGGGACCGGAAGGCGCGACGGGUACGUCCGGGGUAGGAGUGAAAUCCCGUAAUCCUGGACGGACCGCCGAUGGCGAAAGCACGUCGCGAGAACGGAUCCGACAGUGAGGGACGAACGCUAGGGUCUCGAACCGGAUUAGAUACCCUGUAGUCC